GUAGGACUACCCGCUGAACUUAAGCAUACAA
RNAcentral lists this ribosomal RNA (31 nucleotides) under Quambalaria cyanescens. RNAcentral describes it as "partial 28S ribosomal RNA". The record is from RNAcentral. Lineage: Eukaryota; Fungi; Basidiomycota; Exobasidiomycetes; Microstromatales; Quambalariaceae.